CAAAAUCUAUUAGAUGCGACCAUAUCGUGUGGUUCCGUGUCUAUAAAUUUUUCAUGAUUUGACCUCAAAUCAGGUAGGAACACCCGCUGAACUUAAGCAUAUCAAUAAGCGGAGGAAAAGAAAAUAACAAUGAUUCCCCUAGUAACUGCGAGUGAAGAGGGACAAGCUCAAAUUUUAAAUCUAUCGGGUUUUACCUGAUCGAGUUGUAAUUUGAAGAAGCGUUUUCUGCGUAUUUGGUCAGCCUAAGUCCUAUUGAAUGAGGCAUCAUGGAGGGUGAUAAUCCCGUCCGGUUGAUCAUUUGCGUUUUACGAUACGCUUUCUAAGAGUCAAGUUGUUUGGGAUUGCAGCUUAAAAUGGGAGGUAAAUUUCUCCUAAGGCUAAAUAACGGCGAGAGACCGAUAGCGAACAAGUACCGUGAGGGAAAGAUGAAAAGAACUUUGAAAAGAGAGUUAAACAGUACGUGAAAUUGUUGAAAGGGAAACGAUUGAAGCCAGUCGUACCUUCGGGUAAUCAGCCUUUCGGGUGCGAUUCUGUGGAGUGUGAGGAGCUUAAACACCUUCAUGUUUUGCAUAUUCGUACUCUUGGGUGUACUUGCCCGUGUGGUUGGUUAACAUCAAUUUUGGUGGUCAUAAAAUGACUGGGGGAAUGUAGCUUCGAUCUUGUAUUGAAGUGUUAUAGCCUUCGGUAGAUGUGAUGAUCGAGAUUGAGGAUUGCAACGGAUACCCUUCGGGGCUACCUGUCUGGUCUCUGAUCGUUGCUCUGGUGCCGAAAGCUUGCUUACGGUUAUCAAAGUCGAUGGUCAAUAGGUUAGAACGGGUUAAAU
RNAcentral lists this ribosomal RNA (823 nucleotides) under Glomus sp. MUCL 46239. Its description in RNAcentral is "eukaryotic LSU rRNA". It matches the Rfam family "Eukaryotic large subunit ribosomal RNA", at positions 1 to 631 of the family's 3401-position model. Lineage: Eukaryota; Fungi; Glomeromycota; Glomeromycetes; Glomerales; Glomeraceae. The record is from RNAcentral.